AGUGAAUAGAUACCCGGGUAGUCCCAGCUGUAAACGAUGCGCGUUAGGUGUAUCGGUGACCACGAGUCACCGAGGUGCCGAAAGAGAAAUCGUGAAACGUGCCGCCUGGGAAGUACGGUCGCAAGGCUGAAACUUAAAGGAAUUGGCGGGGGAGCACCACAACAGGUGGAGCCUGCGGUUUAAUUCGGACUCAACGCCGGGAAACGUCACCAGAUAAGACAGCUGAAUGAUAGUCGGGCUGAAGACUCUACUUGACUAGCUGAGAGGAGGUGCAUGGCCGUCGUCAGUUCGUACUGUGAAGCAUCCUGUUAAGUCAGGCAACGAGCGAGACCCACGCCAACAGUUGCCAGCUCGUCCUCCGGGAUGGAGGGGUACGACUGUUGGGACCGGCCUCGGCUAAACGAGGAGGAAGGAAUGGGCAACGGUAGGUCAGCAUGCCCCGAACUUAUCUGGGCGUACACGCGGGCUACAAUGGGUGGGUACAAU
RNAcentral lists this ribosomal RNA (486 nucleotides) under uncultured bacterium. RNAcentral describes it as "bacterial SSU rRNA". It matches the Rfam family "Archaeal small subunit ribosomal RNA", at positions 725 to 1199 of the family's 1478-position model. The record is from RNAcentral.